Molecule: long non-coding RNA, 598 nt
Filed under: Rattus norvegicus (Norway rat)
Lineage: Eukaryota; Metazoa; Chordata; Mammalia; Rodentia; Muridae
Description: long non-coding RNA NONRATT000471
Source: RNAcentral
GGAGCGGGCUCUAUUGGACAGUGUCCGUUGGACAGGUACUUCGUCACAGUGUGCCUCCUCAAGCACAGGCAGGGCUACUAAAGGAUGGUCUUAAUGCAAUCUCAGCCUGAGAGCUAAAAAGGAGGUUCUUCAGCCGACAGUGCCCCCCACCCAGCAUGUGGGCAGGCCGCUCACAGUCCCCCACCUCCUCCCUCCCUCCCAUCAGUGAGCUCGAGGACUACAUGAGCGACCGGGUCCAGUUUGUCAUCACGGCCCAGGAGUGGGAUCCCAACUUUGAGGAGGUGAGCCCUGGAGGGGCAGAGGUGGAGAACCCCAACGAACUUCGGCAUUCCCUCUGUCCUCUGAUUACAUUCCCAAGUGGACCCCUCUCCCCUAGGCCCUGAUGGAAAAUCCUUCCCUGGCCUUCGUCCGGCCCCGCUGGAUCUACAGUUGUAAUGAGAAGCAGAAGUUACUCCCCCACCAGCUCUAUGGGGUGGUGCCCCAGGCCUGAAUGUACACCUGUGUAUGCGCAUGCAUACACUUAUGCACAUGUAUGCACAGGCCUGGGUGCACACGUGUGCACACAGAUGAGUUUAAUAAAGGAGACUUUGUUUGAAGC